Molecule: ribosomal RNA, 253 nt
Filed under: uncultured bacterium
Lineage: Bacteria
Description: partial 16S ribosomal RNA
Rfam family: Bacterial small subunit ribosomal RNA
Source: RNAcentral
UACGAAGGGGGCGAGCGUUGUUCGGAUUUAUUGGGCGUAAAGAGCUCGUAGGCGGCUCAUUGCGUCAACCGUGAAAACCAGCAGCUCAACUGUUGGCUUGCGGUUGAUACUAGUGGGCUGGAGUUCGGUAGGGGAGACUGGAAUUCCUGGUGUAGCGGUGAAAUGCGCAGAUAUCAGGAGGAACACCGGUGGCGAAGGCGGGUCUCUGGGCCGAUACUGACGCUGAGGAGCGAAAGCGUGGGGAGCAAACAGG